RNAcentral lists this unclassified non-coding RNA (1657 nucleotides) under Cotesia glomerata. RNAcentral describes it as "innexin shaking-B, transcript variant X2". The record is from RNAcentral. Lineage: Eukaryota; Metazoa; Arthropoda; Insecta; Hymenoptera; Braconidae.
UAUCCCGCGCAUCGGGACACACGCGUACGUCAGAUAACUUUUUUUAUUUUUAUUAAAGUAUAUAUUUUCUCUCAUUUUAAUUGAGAUUGAGCAUACAUCAAUAAUAUAAAAAUUUAUUUAUAAAAAAAGCUUCCUGUUUUUAUUCUCUAAAAAUGUGCUUUGUUGUCAAGUAUUUGCUUCACGUAAAAAUGAAAGGACUGGUCGUGUUUCGUAAGUUGAGGAUUUAAUCGUGAGCAACAAUCGUGAUUCAAUAAAUCAUGUAAAAAAAAAAAAUGAAAGUAAAAAUGACAAUUCACGGUCAAAGCAUAGAAGCCCUUGGGCUUAGUUUUGGUUUCGGUUCGAAACCGUGGGUGAUUUUUCAUUAGUUUGAAAACCUUUGCGCUAUGCGAAACCAACAUGAUAGAAUAAAUAGUAGUAUCAGCAUUAGCAGUAGCAGUAGCGAUUCGAGCAGCACGACUGAGAGUACCAGUACAGUGGUUUACAUUGAAAAUAAUAAGUACGGUCAUUGUGAGGGUGGAUACAAGGGCUCGAGGGCCAAAAGGAAGAAAAAUCGCAAACGUAAGCUUUUUGAUGUGUCUAAAUACAAGGGACUCCACGACGAUAGAAUUAUGGACGCGUUUAGCGCGCUCUGUUUUUUGUUUCGGGUGAGAAGAGUUACGAGCGAUGGUUUUAUUAUGAGAGCACACGUGUUCACGGCUGCUGUCAUGUUAAUAUUUUCGAUUAUUGUGUCUGCUAAGCAAUCUGUUGGAAAUCCUAUUGAUUGUAUGCAUACAAGAGAAAUACCUGUAGACGCAUUCAACGCUUAUUGUUGGAUACACAGCACUUACUUCGUAACUGGAGCAAUGCUCGGAGUGGCUGGAGUAAAUGUAGCCUUUCCCGGCGUAGCCUCGUCCUCAUCAUUUCUUUGGCCUCACAACCGAGUAGGUCAUCUUUCGUUUCCAGAGAAUCACAAUCGAAGAGAAGAAGAAAUAAAAGUGAUCAGAUAUUACCAGUGGGUGGCAUUUUUACUGCUUUUGCAGGCAAUAUUAUUUUACACACCGCGAUGGCUUUGGAAGGGAUGGGAAGGCGGUAAGAUUCACGCGUUGAUGAUGGACCUCGACAUCGGUCUCUGUUCUGAGGUGGAGAAGAAGCAAAAGAAGAAAAUGCUUCUCGAUUAUCUGUGGGAAAAUCUCCGCUACCACAACUGGUGGGCCUACCGAUAUUAUCUCUGCGAGGUGCUAGCCUUGGUGAAUGUUAUUGAUGUUCCUGAUGAACCGUUUUUUCGAUGGCGCAUUUCUGACCUUCGGGAUCGACGUCCUCAGGUUCCUCGAAUCCGACCAAGAAGACCGAAUCGACCCUAUGAUCUACGUUUUUCCGCGUAUGACCAAGUGCACUUUUUACAAGUACGGAGUCAGUGGGGAAGUUGAGAGACAUGAUGCUGUCUGUAUACUUCCGCUAAAUGUCGUUAAUGAGAAAAUCUACGUCUUCCUGUGGUUCUGGUUCCUACUUCUCGGCAUCCUCAGCCUAUUGACUGUUAUAUAUAGGAUUGUCAUAAUUUUUUCUCCGCGUACGAGAGUUUACUUAUUGAAAUUGAGGUUUCACUUAGUAAAAAGAGACGCAGUGGAGACAAUAGUGCGACGUAGCAAAGUGGGCGACUGGUUCCUCCUCUACAUGCUUG